AUGAUUCUAUGCGGUGGAGCAGGAGACAUAGAAUCAUUAUUGUUGGAAGAGACCUUCAAGGUCAUCGUUGUUGUUUUUUGUAGUGGAGGAGGUGGUGGUGGAGGAGGUGAUGGUGGUGGUGGAGGUAUUACUUUAAACCUGUGGUACCAUGAGUUUUACUUGAUGAUCCUAAUGUUUCUCAUCCAACUGUGGAUAUUCCAUGAUUCUAUGCGGUGGAGGAGGAGACAUAGAAUCAUUAUUGUUGGAAGAGACCUUCAAGGUCAUCGUUCUAGUUUUUGGUGGUGGAGGAGGCGGUGGUGGAGGAGGUGAUGGUGGUGGUGGAGGAAUUACUUUUAUACCUGUGGUACCACGAGUUUUACUUGAUGAUCCUAAAGGUUCUCAUCCAACUGUGGAUAUUCCAUGAUUCUAUGUGGUGGAGGAGGAGACAUAGAAUCCUUAUUGUUGGAAGAGACUUAAAAUAUGAUUUCUAUAGCAGUGGUGGAGGAGGCGGUUGUGGUGGCGGUGGAGGAAUAAUUUUUUUUAUACCUGUGUUAGUAUGAGUUGGACUUGGUGAUUCUUAUAUGUCCCUUCCAACUGUUUAUAUUCCAUGAUUCUAUGCGGUGGAGGAGGAGACAUAGAAUCAUUAUUGUUGGAAGAGACCUUCAAGGUCAUCGUUCUAGUUUUUGGUGGUGGAGGAGCCCGUGGUGGAGGAGGUGGUGGUGGUCGUGGAGGAAUUAGUUCUAUACCUGUGGUACCAUGAAUUUUACUUGAUGAUCCUAAUGUUUCUCAUGCAACUGUGGAUAUUCCAUGAUUCUAUGUGGUGGAGGAGGAGACAUAGAAUUCUUAUUGUUGGAAGAGACCUUCAAGGUCAUCGUUCAAGUUUUAGGUGGUGGAGUAGGUGGUGGUGGUGGUGGAGGAAUUAUUUCUAGACCAGUGGUACCAUGAGUUUUACUUGAUGAUCCUAAUGUUUCUCAUCCAGCUGUGGAUAUUCCAUGAAUCUAUGUGGUGGAGGAGGAGACAUAGAAUCAUUAUCGUUGGAAGAGACUUAAAAGAUGAUUUUUAUAGCAGUGGUGGAGGAGGCGUUCGUGGAGGAGGUGGUGGUGGUGGUGGUGGAGGAAUAAUUUUUAUACCUGUGGUACCAUGAGUUUUUCUAUGUUUUACUUAGUUCAUUCUAUGUGGUGGAGGAGGAGACACAGAAUCAUUCUUGUUGGAGG
RNAcentral lists this long non-coding RNA (1193 nucleotides) under Cairina moschata (Muscovy duck). Its description in RNAcentral is "domestica (muscovy Duck (domestic type)) lncRNA (ENSCMMG00000000558.1)". The record is from RNAcentral. Lineage: Eukaryota; Metazoa; Chordata; Aves; Anseriformes; Anatidae.